AGUGAACGCUGGCGGUAGGCCUAGCACAUGCAAGUCGAACGGCAGCACAGUAAGAGCUUGCUCUUACGGGUGGCGAGUGGCGGACGGGUGAGGAAUACAUCGGAAUCUACUUUUUCGUGGGGGAUAACGUAGGGAAACUUACGCUAAUACCGCAUACGACCUACGGGUGAAAGCAGGGGAUCUUCGGACCUUGCGCGAUUGAAUGAGCCGAUGUCGGAUUAGCUAGUUGGCGGGGUAAAGGCCCACCAAGGCGACGAUCCGUAGCUGGUCUGAGAGGAUGAUCAGCCACACUGGAACUGAGACACGGUCCAGACUCCUACGGGUGGCAGCAGUGGGGAAUAUUGGACAAUGGGCGCAAGCCUGAUCCAGCCAUGCCGCGUGGGUGAAGAAGGCCUUCGGGUUGUAAAGCCCUUUUGUUGGGAAAGAAAAGCAGCAGGUUAAUACCCCGCUGUUCUGACGGUACCCAAAGAAUAAGCACCGGCUAACUUCGUG
This 492-nucleotide ribosomal RNA is filed under the name uncultured bacterium. RNAcentral's name for it is "partial 16S ribosomal RNA". It matches the Rfam family "Bacterial small subunit ribosomal RNA", at positions 29 to 507 of the family's 1533-position model. The record is from RNAcentral.